This 466-nucleotide ribosomal RNA is filed under the name uncultured bacterium. RNAcentral's name for it is "bacterial SSU rRNA". It matches the Rfam family "Bacterial small subunit ribosomal RNA", at positions 338 to 795 of the family's 1533-position model. The record is from RNAcentral.
CCUACGGGUCGCAGCAGUGGGGAAUAUUGGACAAUAGGCGGAAGCCUGAUCCAGCCAUGCCGCGUGUGUGAAGAAGGCCUUUUGGUUGUAAAGCACUUUAAGCGAGGAGGAGGCUACUUGGAUUAAUACUCUAGGAUAGUGGACGUUACUCGCAGAAUAAGCACCGGCUAACUCUGUGCCAGCAGCCGCGGUAAUACAGAGGGUGCGAGCGUUAAUCGGAUUUACUGGGCGUAAAGCGUGCGUAGGCGGCUUCUUAAGUCGGAUGUGAAAUCCCUGAGCUUAACUUAGGAAUUGCAUUCGAUACUGGGAAGCUAGAGUAUGGGAGAGGAUGGUAGAAUUCCAGGUGUAGCGGUGAAAUGCGUAGAGAUCUGGAGGAAUACCGAUGGCGAAGGCAGCCAUCUGGCCUAAUACUGACGCUGAGGUACGAAAGCAUGGGGAGCAAACAGGAUUAGAUACCCCCGUAGUC